Molecule: long non-coding RNA, 1104 nt
Organism: Diuraphis noxia (Russian wheat aphid)
Lineage: Eukaryota; Metazoa; Arthropoda; Insecta; Hemiptera; Aphididae
Gene: TM9SF3
Source: RefSeq, a predicted model, not a curated record
AACAAUAAAUAGUUCGGCGAGGCCGCGAGGGAAACAUCCGUGAAAGUAACCUACUUCAGCGACAUCGGAAAAAAUUUAAUGGGAGAGAAAUGGAGAAUGUAAUAACAGAUACGAUAGAGAAUUAGGGRCCUUUAUAAUUGUGAAAAUAAAAAUUCAGAUUAGUAUACAAAAGACAAUAAUGGGGAUUGUGGGGAUUAUAAUCCCAAUAGCUGUAAUAACAGUAUAAACACAGAGAUAAUUUAGUAGAGAUAUUUCUUAUUUUAGAGAUAGGAAAAACUUGAACAAAAGUAGAAGACAAUAGUAUCAUUACUUGGAACUUUGUCAUACUUAUGACAAUACACUUUAAUAAAAAGAGGAUGUCCGCACGAUAUUUGUUUUCUCUCAGUAACGAAUCGCAUAAUUAUUAAUUAAUAGUACUGUAUAAUUAAAUCAAUGGUAGUUGUAACCAGUCAGUGCAUAGUAAUAAGUAAUAUAUCGUUGUGUCGUUAUCAACGAUAAGCCAUUUCUAAGGAAAAAUCAAAAAAUAGACGAAAACGACGAACAUAUGCAAGUCAACCAUGGCCCAUGAGCGAUGGGCAACGCCGUCACAGGUAGCAACAAUAAAUUCAAGACGUCGGUACACGUCAGGUAUUUCAUGUUCCACAAUAUUAUUCGUUCAGAUUGUUCAGAAAUAACCCGCGCAGACAGUCGAAAUUAAUCGCAACCACGAGUUAUAUUAUUGAAAAUACGAACUAUUCACAGUACAUCAUGUCACUAUCAUCAUGUUCUACGAAAUAUCAUCAAUAACAUUUAGUCGGUCGGGGAUCGAGAUAAAAAGAAUUUUCAAUUUAAUAUUAAAUAAUCUGAACGUUAGCAGAGRUAUUGUCGUUUUGACUUCUGAAACGGCAUAGUUGUUUUUCGUUUUUAAUUGGCUGAUGUAAUAAGUUUAAUAAUAUUAGUUUUUGAAUAAUAAUUCUCCCAACAUUAUGUACUCAUUCAUUUAGAGUGUAACAAAGAUGAUCUACUGAGAUGAACACCAAACGGUUUGUGAUGGAUUACCUCAAAGUUUUAGUCUCGUUUUUAGUCAUACAAUUGACGUGUCUCGUKAAUGGCGACGAACACAAU